UGAGAAGGCCCAGAGACGUGCCUUCCUCUUCUUUCCAGGGUCCUGGCCUGUCUUGUCUGUUGGGCGGGUAUGCUUCCUUCCUGGCCUUCCUUGUGGAGCAUGUCUGGGAGUGUGCUAGGAAAUGAGGGAGGAAAAUAUGUAACUUGAUAUCUGCUCCUUGACCCUGGCUGACCUGGUUAACUCUCUCCAGGAUGGAAGCAAAGCCUGCCCGGGAAACCUUCCAUUGCAGGAACAUCUCGGCCUGAAGCUGUCAUCAGGGAGCAGGAUCUGCUUCCCGGACUCUGAGCAGAACAAUGGGAGCCCCAGCAGGCUGGCGAGGCUGACAAGCCCUAGGACGGUGACCUCUCCGAUCUCCAGAUCGGAAACUCAGAAACGUGUAAGUGCCAGAAUCCGCAUUUGGGAAUCUGUUAUUUCUCCCUCUGCGAGUCAACCUGAUCACCCUGGAAGCCUCACUGUCUCUCAGCCCUUGUUCCCAUUUUUCUUUCCAUGAACACCGCAAUCAGAUACGAGAUUCCAGUAAUGAUGGUUCUUGAAAAUUAAACAAAUCAAAAAGAAAGCCAGCCAAGGUAUGGAGUGGGGGACCUCUAAGUUCCCCUGGAGGAGACACUGGGGCCAGGUUCCGAGGUGCAUUCGGAGCCAGAAUCCCUAAUGGAAUUGAACAAUUAUCCUGAAGCUGCUCUCUGAAAGCCGCGGUUUUCCUAAAACACUGUGCUUGGCGUGCCUGGGCUUCUUGGCACUGGCCCAUGACCCACAGCAGCAAAUCGUUCCCAGGAAGCUAUUGUUAUUUGUGUAUCUGAUAGCAUUCAGCUGAGUACACUGACAGCAACAUUUAGAAAGGAAAAGAAAAAAGAAGCGUAGAGUGAAAAGGACAAAAAGGAGGCUUCCAACAUCCUGGUGGGAACAGAAAACCAGCAAAGCCUCUUUUCCAGCCCUUAUCCUUGUGAGUUUGGACUCUGCAGAACUGUCAUCCCCCAGGCAUAGCUGCAGCUUGUAUGAAGGUGGGCAUCAGGCGCGGAGAUUCAGGACAGUGUGCACCUGCUUUCCUCCAACGGGACCCCCUCUGUUCUUCCCAGGAAUGCCUGUAAACUGCCACUGCCUCUAGGGGCUGCACCAAGUCCCUGUGUACUCCCAGGACACAAUGGAGUGGAAUGGAGUGGCUCUGUUCUGUCAGGGCCUAACAUUCCAAAUGAAUUCAUUCCCUUCUGGGAAAAAAGAACCACCUUGCUCAGAGCACAAUGUUCCCAUGUCUUGGCUUACCUUGAAGCAUUUUUGAUACACCUGUUGGGACAAUGCGUUCUGCCAAGAGAAGGGAAGUAGCAUACUUUGUUCUAUUUUUUACUCUCAAUGGGCUACGUUUCCAUUGUGUUGGUUUCCCUUACAGAAAGUAACACACACAGAAGAGAAGGUUAUAGGAUUCCAUGCUGCUUGGCAAAGGCACAAAAUAUGUGCACAUAUUUACAUGGAAUAUGAGGGUAAACUAGAAAAUUAAGGGUAAUCUAAAAUAGAAAAAAAGAAGAAAACAAUAAGUUAAAAGUAUGAAAAGACAUCCAGAAUGAGCAAGUUACUGAGGUUGUGCCUCAACUUUAGCUUGAGUUUCCUGGCAGCAAAGGUAAAAAGGUGAUCUUACAGCUGGAAAAUCAGUGGGUGAAAACGGAGAUACAGCAACUCUAAUUUUCCAUGAAGUUCAUUUUUACUUUACUUCUGGAAUAAAAACCAUCUGGCUUUAGAAGGAAGAGACCAUACAGAAGGAUGUGGGCUUGACACAGUGACGGGCUCUUGGCAGUCUGAAGAAGCAUGAACCAGAACUAAGCCUGGUCUCUCAGGAUUUGGUGGAUGUCUAAGUUGCAGGGUUAAGAAGUUGCAGUUCCUUCUUUCAACUCAACCUCUAGCAGUUGGAUACAGAAGCAAUUGUCGAACCUGGGCACCUAAGGGGACAGGACUGUCAGUGUCCUGGAAAUCAUGUUCUUCUCUUUGGUUUUCACCACCUCUUAAUGGCAUAUCUUCUAUAUUUCCUUUAAUGCGAACACAGGUAACGAGUUGGUUAUAACCCUUUUCUCAGGGCCAGGCUGCCAUGCCAUCGCUCCUCCAGAGAGCAAACACGAAACAUGAUCCUAUGGCAAGAACAUACAAUGCCAGGUCCCUGGAUUUAGGUCCUGCUCUGUCAUUGACUGUAUAUUCCCAUAAAGAAGAUUAAAACUC
Molecule: long non-coding RNA, 2199 nt
Filed under: Homo sapiens (human)
Lineage: Eukaryota; Metazoa; Chordata; Mammalia; Primates; Hominidae
Description: HSALNT0356529
Source: RNAcentral